RNAcentral lists this ribosomal RNA (466 nucleotides) under uncultured bacterium. RNAcentral describes it as "partial 16S ribosomal RNA". It matches the Rfam family "Bacterial small subunit ribosomal RNA", at positions 28 to 507 of the family's 1533-position model. The record is from RNAcentral.
GAUGAACGCUGGCGGCGUGCUUAACACAUGCAAGUCGAACGAUGAAGCCCAGCUUGCUGGGUGGAUUAGUGGCGAACGGGUGAGUAACACGUGAGUAACCUGCCCUUAACUCUGGGAUAAGCCUGGGAAACUGGGUCUAAUACCGGAUAGGAGCGCCUACCGCAUGGUGGGUGUUGGAAAGAUUUAUCGGUUUUGGAUGGACUCGCGGCCUAUCAGCUUGUUGGUGAGGUAAUGGCUCACCAAGGCGACGACGGGUAGCCGGCCUGAGAGGGUGACCGGCCACACUGAGACUGAGACACGGCCCAGACUCCUACGGGAGGCAGCAGUGGGGAAUAUUGCACAAUGGGCGCAAGCCUGAUGCAGCGACGCCGCGUGAGGGAUGACGGCCUUCGGGUUGUAAACCUCUUUCAGUAGGGAAGAAGCGAAAGUGACGGUACCUGCAGAAGAAGCACCGGCUAACUACGUG